AUACGGAGGGUGCAAGCGUUAUUCGGAAUCACUGGGCGUAAAGGACGCGUAGGCGGGUUGGCAAGUCAGAUGUGAAAUCCUACAGCUUAACUGUAGAACUGCAUUUGAAACUGCUAACCUAGAGUAUGGGAGGGGGAGAUGGAAUUAGUGGUGUAGGGGUAAAAUCCGUAGAUAUCACUAGGUAUACCGAAAGCGAAGGCGAUCUCCUGGAACAUAACUGACGCUAAGGCGUGAAAGCGUGGGGAGCAAACAGGAUUAGAAACCCUAGUAGUCC
This 274-nucleotide ribosomal RNA is filed under the name uncultured bacterium. Its description in RNAcentral is "partial 16S ribosomal RNA". It matches the Rfam family "Bacterial small subunit ribosomal RNA", at positions 523 to 796 of the family's 1533-position model. The record is from RNAcentral.